GAGGAAAGUCCGGGCUACACAGGGCAGAGUGCCGGAUAACGUCCGGGAGGCGAGAGCCUACGACAAGUGCAGCAGAGAGCAAACCGCCGAUGGCCCGCAAGGGAUCAGGUAAGGGUGAAAGGGUGCGGUAAGAGCGCACCGUGCCGCCGGUAACGGUUGGUAGCAGGGUAAACUCCACUCGUAGCAAGACCAAAUAGGAAUCCAAUGAAUGGCCCGUUCAGGAUUCGGGUAGGUUGCUUGAGCGCAUGUGUAAAUAUGCGCCUAGAUGAAUGAUUGUCCAUGACAGAACCCGGCUUA
RNAcentral lists this RNase P RNA (297 nucleotides) under Aggregatibacter segnis ATCC 33393. RNAcentral describes it as "Bacterial RNase P class A". It matches the Rfam family "Bacterial RNase P class A", at positions 43 to 351 of the family's 367-position model. From Rfam's summary of the family: Ribonuclease P (RNase P) is a ubiquitous endoribonuclease, found in archaea, bacteria and eukarya as well as chloroplasts and mitochondria. Its best characterised activity is the generation of mature 5'-ends of tRNAs by cleaving the 5'-leader elements of precursor-tRNAs. The record is from RNAcentral. Lineage: Bacteria; Pseudomonadati; Pseudomonadota; Gammaproteobacteria; Pasteurellales; Pasteurellaceae.